ACAGCCAUAUGACGUUGAAACACCAGUUCUUGUGCGGUCACCAAAGUUAAGCAAUGUCUAGCUUGGCCGGUACUUAGAUGGGUGACCGCUUGGGAAUACCAGGUGCUC
This is a non-coding RNA of Acanthosepion pharaonis, 108 nucleotides long. NCBI's taxonomy places the organism in Eukaryota, Metazoa, Mollusca, Cephalopoda, Sepiida, Sepiidae. The record is from the annotation of a GenBank genome assembly.